This 68-nucleotide transfer RNA is filed under the name Ictidomys tridecemlineatus (thirteen-lined ground squirrel). RNAcentral's name for it is "Spermophilus tridecemlineatus (thirteen-lined ground squirrel) tRNA". It matches the Rfam family "tRNA". Rfam says of the family: Transfer RNA (tRNA) molecules are approximately 80 nucleotides in length. Their secondary structure includes four short double-helical elements and three loops (D, anti-codon, and T loops). The record is from Rfam by way of RNAcentral. Lineage: Eukaryota; Metazoa; Chordata; Mammalia; Rodentia; Sciuridae.
GGUGAUGUGGCUCAGGCGGUAGCGCACUCGCCUGACAUGCGUGUGGCAGGGUUUGAUCCUCAGCACCA